RNAcentral lists this transfer RNA (73 nucleotides) under Ovis aries (sheep). It matches the Rfam family "tRNA". From Rfam's summary of the family: Transfer RNA (tRNA) molecules are approximately 80 nucleotides in length. Their secondary structure includes four short double-helical elements and three loops (D, anti-codon, and T loops). Further hydrogen bonds mediate the characteristic L-shaped molecular structure. tRNAs have two regions of fundamental functional importance: the anti-codon, which is responsible for specific mRNA codon recognition, and the 3' end, to which the tRNAs corresponding amino acid is attached (by aminoacyl-tRNA synthetases). tRNAs cope with the degeneracy of the genetic code in two manners: having more than one tRNA (with a specific anti-codon) for a particular amino acid; and 'wobble' base-pairing, i.e. permitting non-standard base-pairing at the 3rd anti-codon position. The record is from Rfam by way of RNAcentral. Lineage: Eukaryota; Metazoa; Chordata; Mammalia; Artiodactyla; Bovidae.
UCCCUGGUGGCUCAGAGGUUAAAGCGUCUACCUCCAAUGCAAAUAGACCCGGGUUCGAUUCCUGGGUUGGGAA